Molecule: ribosomal RNA, 253 nt
Filed under: uncultured bacterium
Lineage: Bacteria
Description: partial 16S ribosomal RNA
Rfam family: Bacterial small subunit ribosomal RNA
Source: RNAcentral
UACGAGGGGGGCGAGCGUUGUUCGGAAUUAUUGGGCGUAAAGGGUGCGUAGGCGGUUCCGCAAGUCCUGUGUGAAAUCUUCGGGCUCAACUCGAAGUCUGCACGGGAAACUGCGGGGCUUGAGUGUGGGAGAGGUGAGUGGAAUUCCCGGUGUAGCGGUGAAAUGCGUAGAUAUCGGGAGGAACAUCAGUGGCGAAGGCGGCUGCCUGGCCCAAUACUGACACUCAGGUGCGACAGCGUGGGGAGCAAACAGG